CUUGGCUAAUGAGUCUUGGGUAAUGUGUCUUGGCUAAUGUGUCUCGGCUAAUGUGUCUUGUCUAAGGUGUCUUGGCUAAGGUGUCUUGGCUAAUGUGUCUUGGCUAAGGUGUCUUGGCUAAUGUGUCUUGGCUAAUGUGUCUUGGCUAAGGUGUCUUGGCUAAGGUGUCUUGGCUAAGGUGUCUUGGCUAAGGUGUCUUGGCUAAUGUGUCUCGGCUAAUGUGUCUCGGCUAAUGUGUCUUAGCUAAUGUGUCUUGGCUAAGGUGUCUCGGCUAAUGUGUCUUGGCUAAGGUGUCUUGGCUAAUGUGUCUUGGCUAAGGUGUCUUGGCUAAUGUGUCUCGGCUAAUGCAUCUUGGCUAAGGUGUCUUGGCUAAGGUGUCUUGGCUAAGGUGUCUUGGGUAAUGUGUCUUGGCUAAUGUGUCUUGGCUAAGGUGUCUUGGCUAAGGUGUCUUGACUAAGGUGUCUUGGGUAAUGUGUCUUGGCUAAUGUGUCUUGGCUAAGGUGUCUUGGCUAAUGUGUCUUGGCUAAUGUGUCUUGGCUAAGGUGUCUUGGCUAAUGUGUCUUGGCUAAGGUGUCUUGGCUAAGGUGUCUUGGCUAAUGUGUCUCGGCUAAGGUGUCAUGGCUAAGGUGUCUUGGCUAAGGUGUCUUGGCUAAUGUGUCUUGGCUAAUGUGUCUUGGCUAAUGUAUCUUGGCUAAGGUGUCUUGGCUAAGGUGUCUUGGCUAAGGUGUCUUGGCUAAGGUGUCUUGGCUAAUGUGUCUCAGCUUAUGUGUCUCGGCUAAUGUGUCUUGGCUAAGGUGUCUUGGCUAAUGUGUCUUGGCUAAGGUGUCUUGGCUAAUGUGUCUUGGCUCAUGUGUCCCGGCUAAUGUGUCUUGGCUAAGGUGUCUUGGCUAAUGUGUCUCGGCUAAUGUGUCUCGGCUAAUGUGUCUUGGCUAAGGUGUCUUGGCUAAGGUGUCUUGGCUAAGGUGUUUUGGCUAAUGUGUCGUGGCUAAGGUGUCUUAGCUAAGGUGAAUUGGCUAAGGUGAAUUGGCUAAGGUGUCUUGGCUAAUGUGUCUCGGCUAAGGUGUCUUGGCUAAGGUGUCUUGGCUAAGGUGUCUUGGCUAAUGUGUCUUGGCUAAUGUGUCUUGGCUAAUGUGUCUUGGCUAAGGUGUCUCGGCUAAGGUGUCUUAGCUAUGUUGUCUUGGCUAAGGUGUCUUGGCUAAGGUGUCUUGGCUAAGGUGUCUUGGCUAAGGUGUCUUGGCUAAUGUGUCUUGGCUAAGGUGUCUUGGCUAAUGUGUCUUGGCUAAGGUGUAUUGGCUAAUGUGACUCGGCUAAGGUGUCUUGGCUAAGGUGUCUCGGCUAAUGUGUCUUGGCUAAGGUGUCUUGGCUAAUGUGUCUUGGCUAAGGUGUCUUGGCUAAUGUGUCUUGGCUAAGGUGUCUUGGCUAAUGUGUCUCGGCUAAGGUGUCUUGGCUAAGGUGUCUUGGCUAAGGUGUCUUGGCUAAUGUGUCUCGGCUAAUGUGUCUCGGCUAAUGUGUCUUGGCUAAGGUGUCUUGGCUAAUGUGUCUUGGCUAAGGUGUCUUGGCUAAUGUGUCUUGGCUAAGGUGUCUCGGCUAAUGUGUCUUGGCUAAGGUGUCUUGGCUAAUGUGUCUUGGCUAAGGUGUCUUGGCUAAUGUGUCUUGGCUAAUGUGUCUCGGCUAAUGUGUCUUGGCUAAGGUGUCUUGGCUAAUGUGUCUCGGCUAAUGUGUCUCGGCUAAUGUGUCUUGGCUGAUGUGUCUUGGCUAAUGUGUCUUGGCUAAGGUGUCUUGGCUUAUGUGUCUCGGCUAAGGUGUCUUGGAUAAUGUGUCUUGGCUAAUGUGUCUUGGCUAAGGUGUCUUGGCUAAUGUGUCUUGGCUAAGGUGUCUUGGCUAAGGUGUCUUGGCUAAUGUGUCUUGGCUAAGGUGUCUUGGCUAAGGUGUCUUGGCUAAUGUGUCUUGGCUAAUGUGUCUUGGCUAAGGUGUCUUGGCUAAGGUGUCUUGGCUAAAGUGUCUUGGCUAAUGUGUCUUGGCUAAGGUGUCUUGGCUAAUGUGUCUUGGCUAAUGUGUCUUGGCUAAUGUGUCUUGGCUAAGGUGUCUUGGCUAAUGUGUCUUGGCUAAUGUGUCUUGGCUAAUGUGUCUUGGCUAAGGUGUCUCGGCUAAGGUGUCUUGGAUAAUGUGUCUUGGCUAAUGUGUCUCGGCUAAUGUGUCUUGGCUAAUGUGUCUUGGCUAAGGUGUCUUGGCUAAUGUGUCUUGGCUAAGGUGUUUUGGCUAAUGUGUCUCGGCUAAUAUGUCUUGGCUAAGGUGUCUUGGCUAAGGUGUCUUGGCUAAUGUGUCUUGGCUAAGGUGUCUUGGCUAAGGUGUCUUGGCUAAUGUGUCUUGGCUAAGGUGUCUUGGCUAUGGUGUCUUGGCUAAUGUGUCUCGGCUAAUGUGUCUCGGCUAAUGUGUCUUGGCUGAUGUGUCUUGGCUGAUGUGUCUUGGCUAAGUUGUCUUGGCUUAUGUGUCUCGGCUAAGGUGUCUUGGAUAAUGUGUCUUGGCUAAUGUGUCUUGGCUAAGGUGUCUUGGCUAAUGUGUCUUGGCUAAUGUGUCUUGGCUAAGGUGUCUUGGCUAAGGUGUCUUGGCUAAUGUGUCUUGGCUAAGGUGUCUUGGCUAAUGUGUCUUGGCUAAUGUGUCUUGGCUAAGGUGUCUUGGCUAAGGUGUCUUGGCUAAUGUGUCUCGGCUAAUGUGUCUCGGCUAAUGUGUCUUGGCUGAUGUGUCUUGGCUAAUGUGUCUUGGCUAAGGUGUCUUGGCUUAUGUGUCUCGGCUAAGGUGUCUUGGAUAAUGUGUCUUGGCUAAUGUGUCUUGGCUAAGGUGUCUUGGCUAAUGUGUCUUGGCUAAGGUGUCUUGGCUAAGGUGUCUCGGCUAAUGUGUCUUGGCUAAGGUGUCUUGGUUAAGGUGUCUUGGCUAAUGUGUCUUGGCUAAGGUGUCUUGGCUAAGGUGUCUUGGCUAAGGUGUCUUGGCUAAUGUGUCUCGGCUAAGGUGUCUUGGCUAAGGUGUCUUGGCUAAUGUGUCUCGGCUAAUGUGUCUCGGCUAAUGUGUCUUGGCUAAGGUAUCUUGGCUAAUGUGUCUUGGCUAAGGUGUCUUGGCUAAGGUGUCUUGGCUAAUGUGUCUUGGCUAAGGUGUCUUGGCUAAGGUGUCUUGGCUAAUGUGUCUCGGCUAAUGUGUCUUGGCUAAUGUGUCUUGGCUAAGGUGUCUUGGCUAAUGUGUCUUGGCUAAGGUGUUUUGGCUAAUGUGUCUCGGCUAAUAUGUCUUGGCUAAGGUGUCUUGGCUAAGGUGUCUUGGCUAAUGUGUCUUGGCUAAGGUGUCUUGGCUAAUGUGUCUUGGCUAAUGUGUCUUGGCUAAGGUGUCUUGGCUAUGGUGUCUUGGCUAAGGUGUCUUGGCUAAGUGUCUUGGCUAAUGUGUCUUGGCUAAGGUGUCUUGGCUAAUGUGUCUUGGCUAAUGUGUCUCGGCUAAUGUGUCUUGGCUAAGGUGUCUCGGCUAAUGUUUCUUGGCUAAGGUGUCUUGGCUAAUGUGUCUUGGCUAAGGUGUCUUGGCUAAUGUGUCUUAGCUAAUAUGUCUUGGCUAAUGUGUCUUGGCUAAGGUGUCUUGGCAAAUGUGUCUCGGCUAAGGUGUCUUGGCUAAGGUGUCUUGGGUAAUGUGUCUCGGCUAAUGUGUCUCGGCUAAUGUGUCUCAGCUAAGGUGUCUUGGCUAAGGUGCCUCGGCUAAUGUG
Anopheles funestus (African malaria mosquito) is the source of this 3736-nucleotide long non-coding RNA. RefSeq lists it as uncharacterized. The record is from RefSeq and is a predicted model, not a curated record. The transcript is spliced from 3 exons. Lineage: Eukaryota; Metazoa; Arthropoda; Insecta; Diptera; Culicidae.